Molecule: ribosomal RNA, 3409 nt
Filed under: Cibicides pachyderma
Lineage: Eukaryota; Foraminifera; Rotaliida; Cibicididae
Description: SSU rRNA
Rfam family: Eukaryotic small subunit ribosomal RNA
Source: RNAcentral
CAUGCAAGUGGUUAUAUUAACCCGACAGUUUAAAUAAGUGUUCAAUGCUACAUUAAACUUAUCACAUAUCACGCAUAGAUGAUUUUGUUUACAGUAGUAACAAUUUCAGCGUGAAUCACCCAUCACAGUGAAUCACUGAAAUUUACCCAAUAUCAGUAUCACUUACGCAACUGCAGACAGCUGCUUAAUACAGUCACACUUGUCUUGACUUGGCGUAAUAAAAAUUUUCAUUGAAACACCCGCUCGCGGGCAGCUCGGUGAAUUUUUUUAUUUUGUUGCAUCACGCAUACAAAAUUUUUUGAUUUCUCUGUAUCGCUUAUUCUUAAGGACAUGCGUUACACCGUGACAAUUUUCUUUAUGGAUAACUCAGGGAAAGUUUGGCUAAUACGUACGAGUACUUUACCACACACACACACACACACACACACACUCAACAAUUCAAAAUUUUUUUGUAUUGCUGUGUAUCAACUACUACUCAGCACUCARUGGUAAACUUUGGCUGCCUCGCGCAGUCAGUUUAAAGUUUAACUGCAACAUGAGAGACAUUGAGCACGCACGUGUCGUGUCUUCGGACACUUCACAUCACGCUGAGCAGACUUUGCGAAGUUUACUUUGCGAAGCAUGUCAUACAAGCAUCUACAGCAUCAAGUCACAGGGUUGGCAAGUGUAUUUUUGAACCUUCAAAGCAGUCACGCAUACGGAAGAGUAGUUUCUGAUCCCAUAGAAGGAGCACCGUACAAUGAGAGACCGCUCUUAGUUCUAAGGAACGCAGCAGGCGCGUAAAUUGCCCAAUGCUAAUACCCUACAAUCAAAUUGUAUUUACAUGCGUUAACAAUUUACAACAUACAAGUUUUAAUGACAGACAUUAUAACACUUUCAUUUUUUCUGUUACAUUACACACAUAUAUAUCCUUGUUCGUUGUAUUCAGCAUCCAUAAUAUUAAUUUAUUAUUUUACUGAGGCAGUGACAAGCUGUAACGGUUGAGUAUAAAAAUGACGAGUGUCUGGCAUUGCCGCUCUUUCGGGAGCUUGGCAAGUUGCCGACGCUUUGUGUGCUCAAUUGGAAUGCGGUGAGUUUAAGCAACUCAGAACCUUUGGACGGUGUUAGUAAAAUUUCACUGUUCGUGUAUCUGAAUUUCAAGCGGAGGGCAAGUCUGGUGCCAGCAGCCGCGGUAAUACCAGCUCCACUGGCCUAUACAAUCAUUGUUGCGGUUAAGAGGCUCGUAGUUGGAUUGAACUGCAAAUACGAAUGAAUUUCUCAUUCUGUUUGAAGUUUUACGCUUUAAUCACUCGUGAUUUUUUGCGUUCGACGCCUGUUAAAAUUUAUACAAUUUUUUCUGUUGUAUUAAAUUUUUCAUUUACACGGCACGAAUAUUUUCUGCCGCAUACAUUUUAUUACACCACACACACACACACACACACGUUGUAAUAAUAAACGUAUGCAUUUCAACGCUGAAAACUUUUGUAUUCRAACACUCGUUUARAAUUUAUUCUCCUUUUCAACACUGUGAACAAAUCAGUGUGUAUCAAACAUGUCKUUUUGAAUGUGCAUUGAAUGUCUUAUCAUGGGAUGUUGCACUUUCUGCGUUAAAAAUUUUUAUUGCCUGUUUACAGCGCUGUAUUCAUUUUUAGCAUUACACACACACACAGCACGCACAUGUUACRUGCCACGUAAAUAAUUUUUCUAUACAUACGAUAAAUUUUUUUAACGGUUAAAARUGUCGAUGGRGAUAGUUGGAGUCAACAGUACUGCUGGGCGAGAGGUGAAAUUCAUUGACCCUAGCAAGACUACCAAAAGCGAAAGCAGUUGGCUAGGCUAUACUCUUUGUGAUUAUAUUUUUAUGCGACGUAGCUUACGCUGAAAUUUUUUUGCAUUACACACACACACACACUGCAUCAAAUUUUUUUUUGGCGCUUCGCUGCAGCAUAUACAUAUAUAUACACUUUACAAUGAAGAACGAAGGUUGGGGGAUCAAAGAGAAUCAGAUACCCUCGUCGUCCCAUUAAUUACAUCAAACGAUGGGCUCUCAAUUGCAUCUUUUAUUAAAUUGCAAAUUUCCUCAGCCUACAAAAUAACUUGGCUUGAGCUCGUAUUUUUAUACGCUCGCCUAACUUUUUUCGUACGGUCUCGAUGGACGUUUCAUUUAUAUUUUUUGCGUGUAAGCAUUUGUUAUUCUUUGAAACAUAAGAAUGCAUUGCGUGCACUUGAUUUUCGGAGCUUUGCGCUCAAUUCUGGUGAGAUGUAAGCACUAUGUCACACUACCCGCAGCAUAUGUCUUCGGGCAUUUUGUCUGUCGUGUGUAGUUGACAAUCUUGGUGUGAAGCACGCUUUAGGCACGCGCNUACUGCAGAAAUGUCUGAGACAUUCCCCUCCGGGGGUAGUAUGCACGCAAGUGUGAAACUUGAAGGAAUUGACGGAAGGGCACCACAAGAACGCGUGGAGCAUGUGGCUUAAUUUGACUCAACGCGGGAAAUCUUACCGGGUCCGGACACACUGAGGAUUGACAGGCAAUAUUAAUACGUGUUCGCACGUAUUAUGUUAAAUAUGCUAGUCCUUUCAUGAUUAUGUGAUAGGUGGUGCAUGGCCGUUCUUAGUUCGUGGAGUGAUCUGUCUGCUUAAUUGCGUUUCACUAAGGGCCUAUAAAUUUACGUGUGUUGCGGCACUUUGACCCCUUUCUUCGGAAAGCGCGUGUCUUAGUUUGCUUUGCUCACACAAUUAGGUCCUGAAAGCAACGAACGUGACCGCAACCUCUUGUUGCCUUUAUACCAAACAUGUUUGUCAUUUUUAUGGCAUUCAUGAAAAAAGGCUUUUUAAACUAGAGGGACCGCUGUUACUUUCUUAAACCAGAGGAAGGUUGCGGCAAUAACAGGUCUGUGAUGCCCUUAGAUGUUCCGGGCUGCACACGUGCUACAAUGAUUAUUGCAGUGAGCAUCUCAUUUUUACACACCGCAUGCGCGAGUCCAUUUAUUCACUUCGGUGCUUUAAAUGUGUAUUUCUGCGCGCGGUAAAGCCUGCUUCGAAAGUAAGUGGGUAAUCAAUUAGAAGUAAUGAUUUCCUUUUUAGCACACAUAUAUACGGCGUCUAUACCCGGGUUACCUUGUUGUAACUUUUGUGUGUAUAGAUGUUUUUUCCGUAUGUGCGAUUGUCAAUUCAUGGUGGGGACAGACCAUUGUUAAUUGUUGGUCUCGGUCUUAACUAGGAAUGCCUUGUACGGGUCUUUGGUUCAACAAACCACCCGGAAUACGUCCCUGCCCUUUGUACACACCGCCCGUCGCUCUUACCGAUGGACUUCUCUGUGAGUUUGAGGGACUGGGAACGCAGAAUUUAUUCUGCACACCUAUGGAAACUUAAACGAACAGUGUGGUCUAAAGGAAAGAGAAGUCGUAACAAGGCAUCGGUAGGUGAACCU